GCCACGGUGGUCCAGCGGUUAGAACGCUGGCCUUGUAAUCCUGGGGUCUCGGGUUCGAUUCCCGGCGGUGCCC
Molecule: non-coding RNA, 73 nt
Organism: Zootermopsis nevadensis
Lineage: Eukaryota; Metazoa; Arthropoda; Insecta; Blattodea; Termopsidae
Source: Rfam